This 95-nucleotide small RNA is filed under the name uncultured Flavobacterium sp. Its description in RNAcentral is "Flavo-1 RNA". It matches the Rfam family "Flavo-1 RNA". The record is from RNAcentral. Lineage: Bacteria; Pseudomonadati; Bacteroidota; Flavobacteriia; Flavobacteriales; Flavobacteriaceae.
CUAGCCCCGAUUGCAGUGGCAUCCUUUUUAAGGAUUGGCCUGAGGAAGCGAAGGCACAUCAAUCCUUAAAAAGAUAUAACGGAAAGCGGGAAACU